GGGAGUGAAAAAGAACCUGAAACCGUGUACGUACAAGCAGUGGGAGCCUCUUUAUGGGGUGACUGCGUACCUUUUGUAUAAUGGGUCAGCGACUUAUAUUCUGUAGCAAGGUUAACCGAAUAGGGGAGCCGAAGGGAAACCGAGUCUUAACUGGGCGUUAAGUUGCAGGGUAUAGACCCGAAACCCGGUGAUCUAGCCAUGGGCAGGUUGAAGGUUGGGUAACACUAACUGGAGGACCGAACCGACUAAUGUUGAAAAAUUAGCGGAUGACUUGUGGCUGGGGGUGAAAGGCCAAUCAAACCGGGAGAUAGCUGGUUCUCCCCGAAAGCUAUUUAGGUAGCGCCUCGUGAAUUCAUCUCCGGGGGUAGAGCACUGUUUCGGCAAGGGGGUCAUCCCGACUUACCAACCCGAUGCAAACUGCGAAUACCGGAGAAUGUUAUCACGGGAGACACACGGCGGGUGCUAACGUCCGUCGUGAAGAGGGAAACAACCCAGACCGCCAGCUAAGGUCCCAAAGUCAUGGUUAAGUGGGAAACGAUGUGGGAAGGCCCAGACAGCCAGGAUGUUGGCUUAGAAGCAGCCAUCAUUUAAAGAAAGCGUAAUAGCUCACUGGUCGAGUCGGCCUGCGCGGAAGAUGUAACGGGGCUAAACCAUGCACCGAAGCUGCGGCAGCGACGCUUAUGCGUUGUUGGGUAGGGGAGCGUUCUGUAAGCCUGUGAAGGUGUGCUGUGAGGCAUGCUGGAGGUAUCAGAAGUGCGAAUGCUGACAUAAGUAACGAUAAAGCGGGUGAAAAGCCCGCUCGCCGGAAGACCAAGGGUUCCUGUCCAACGUUAAUCGGGGCAGGGUGAGUCGACCCCUAAGGCGAGGCCGAAAGGCGUAGUCGAUGGGAAACAGGUUAAUAUUCCUGUACUUGGUGUUACUGCGAAGGGGGGACGGAGAAGGCUAUGUUGGCCGGGCGACGGUUGUCCCGGUUUAAGCGUGUAGGCUGGUUUUCCAGGCAAAUCCGGAAAAUCAAGGCUGAGGCGUGAUGACGAGGCACUACGGUGCUGAAGCAACAAAUGCCCUGCUUCCAGGAAAAGCCUCUAAGCAUCAGGUAACAUCAAAUCGUACCCCAAACCGACACAGGUGGUCAGGUAGAGAAUACCAAGGCGCUUGAGAGAACUCGGGUGAAGGAACUAGGCAAAAUGGUGCCGUAACUUCGGGAGAAGGCACGCUGAUAUGUAGGUGAAGCGACUUGCUCGUGGAGCUGAAAUCAGUCGAAGAUACCAGCUGGCUGCAACUGUUUAUUAAAAACACAGCACUGUGCAAACACGAAAGUGGACGUAUACGGUGUGACGCCUGCCCGGUGCCGGAAGGUUAAUUGAUGGGGUUAGCGGUAACGCGAAGCUCUUGAUCGAAGCCCCGGUAAACGGCGGCCGUAACUAUAACGGUCCUAAGGUAGCGAAAUUCCUUGUCGGGUAAGUUCCGACCUGCACGAAUGGCGUAAUGAUGGCCAGGCUGUCUCCACCCGAGACUCAGUGAAAUUGAACUCGCUGUGAAGAUGCAGUGUACCCGCGGCAAGACGGAAAGACCCCGUGAACCUUUACUAUAGCUUGACACUGAACAUUGAGCCUUGAUGUGUAGGAUAGGUGGGAGGCUUUGAAGUGUGGACGCCAGUCUGCAUGGAGCCGACCUUGAAAUACCACCCUUUAAUGUUUGAUGUUCUAACGUUGGCCCCUGAUCGGGGUUGCGGACAGUGUCUGGUGGGUAGUUUGACUGGGGCGGUCUCCUCCUAAAGAGUAACGGAGGAGCACGAAGGUUGGCUAAUCCUGGUCGGACAUCAGGAGGUUAGUGCAAUGGCAUAAGCCAGCUUGACUGCGAGCGUGACGGCGCGAGCAGGUGCGAAAGCAGGUCAUAGUGAUCCGGUGGUUCUGAAUGGAAGGGCCAUCGCUCAACGGAUAAAAGGUACUCCGGGGAUAACAGGCUGAUACCGCCCAAGAGUUCAUAUCGACGGCGGUGUUUGGCACCUCGAUGUCGGCUCAUCACAUCCUGGGGCUGAAGUAGGUCCCAAGGGUAUGGCUGUUCGCCAUUUAAAGUGGUACGCGAGCUGGGUUUAGAACGUCGUGAGACAGUUCGGUCCCUAUCUGCCGUGGGCGCUGGAGAACUGAGGGGGGCUGCUCCUAGUACGAGAGGACCGGAGUGGACGCAUCACUGGUGUUCGGGUUGUCAUGCCAAUGGCACUGCCCGGUAGCUAAAUGCGGAAGAGAUAAGUGCUGAAAGCAUCUAAGCACGAAACUUGCCCCGAGAUGAGUUCUCCCUGAGACUUUAAGUCUCCUGAAGGAACGUUGAAGACGACGACGUUGAUAGGCCGGGUGUGUAAGCGCAGCGAUGCGUUGAGCUAACCGGUACUAAUGAACCGUGAGGCUUAACCUUACAACGCCGAAGGUGUUU
This 2430-nucleotide ribosomal RNA is filed under the name Escherichia coli. Its description in RNAcentral is "partial 23S ribosomal RNA". It matches the Rfam family "Bacterial large subunit ribosomal RNA", at positions 534 to 2925 of the family's 2925-position model. The record is from RNAcentral. Lineage: Bacteria; Pseudomonadati; Pseudomonadota; Gammaproteobacteria; Enterobacterales; Enterobacteriaceae.